Molecule: ribosomal RNA, 1346 nt
Filed under: uncultured bacterium
Lineage: Bacteria
Description: bacterial SSU rRNA
Rfam family: Bacterial small subunit ribosomal RNA
Source: RNAcentral
GACGAACGCUGGCGGCGUGCUUAACACAUGCAAGUCGAACGAUGAAGGAAGAAGCUUGCUUCUUCUGGAUUAGUGGCGAACGGGUGAGUAACACGUGAGCAAUCUGCCCUUGACUCUGGGAUAAGCGUUGGAAACGACGUCUAAUACCGGAUACGACCCUCGGAGGCAUCUCCUGGGGGUGGAAAGAAUUUUGGUCAAGGAUGAGCUCGCGGCCUAUCAGCUUGUUGGUGAGGUAAUGGCUCACCAAGGCGACGACGGGUAGCCGGCCUGAGAGGGUGACCGGCCACACUGGGACUGAGACACGGCCCAGACUCCUACGGGAGGCAGCAGUGGGGAAUAUUGCACAAUGGGCGAAAGCCUGAUGCAGCAACGCCGCGUGAGGGAUGACGGCCUUCGGGUUGUAAACCUCUUUUAGUAGGGAAGAAGCGAAAGUGACGGUACCUGCAGAAAAAGCACCGGCUAACUACGUGCCAGCAGCCGCGGUAAUACGUAGGGUGCAAGCGUUGUCCGGAAUUAUUGGGCGUAAAGAGCUCGUAGGCGGUUUGUCGCGUCUGCUGUGAAAUCUGGGGGCUCAACCCCCAGCCUGCAGUGGGUACGGGCUGACUAGAGUGCGGUAGGGGAGAUUGGAAUUCCUGGUGUAGCGGUGGAAUGCGCAGAUAUCAGGAGAAACACCGAUGGCGAAGGCAGAUCUCUGGGCCGUAACUGACGCUGAGGAGCGAAAGCAUGGGGAGCGAACAGGAUUAGAUACCCUGGUAGUCCAUGCCGUAAACGUUGGGAACUAGAUGUGGGGACCAUUCCACGGUCUCCGUGUCGCAGCUAACGCAUUAAGUUCCCCGCCUGGGGAGUACGGCCGCAAGGCUAAAACUCAAAGGAAUUGACGGGGGCCCGCACAAGCGGCGGAGCAUGCGGAUUAAUUCGAUGCAACGCGAAGAACCUUACCAAGACUUGACAUAUACGAGAACGGGCCAGAAAUGGUCAACUCUUUGGACACUCGUAAACAGGUGGUGCAUGGUUGUCGUCAGCUCGUGUCGUGAGAUGUUGGGUUAAGUCCCGCAACGAGCGCAACCCUCGUCCUAUGUUGCCAGCACGUAAUGGUGGGAACUCAUGGGAUACUGCCGGGGUCAACUCGGAGGAAGGUGGGGAUGACGUCAAAUCAUCAUGCCCCUUAUGUCUUGGGCUUCACGCAUGCUACAAUGGCCGGUACAAAGGGCUGCGAUACCGUAAGGUGGAGCGAAUCCCAAAAAGCCGGUCUCAGUUCGGAUUGAGGUCUGCAACUCGACCUCAUGAAGUCGGAGUCGCUAGUAAUCGCAGAUCAGCAACGCUGCGGUGAAUACGUUCCCGGGCCU